RNAcentral lists this ribosomal RNA (1394 nucleotides) under Vibrio sp. Its description in RNAcentral is "bacterial SSU rRNA". It matches the Rfam family "Bacterial small subunit ribosomal RNA". Lineage: Bacteria; Pseudomonadati; Pseudomonadota; Gammaproteobacteria; Vibrionales; Vibrionaceae. The record is from RNAcentral.
UGCAGUCGAGCGGCAGCGACAACAUUGAACCUUCGGGGGAUUUGUUGGGCGGCGAGCGGCGGACGGGUGAGUAAUGCCUAGGAAAUUGCCCUGAUGUGGGGGAUAACCAUUGGAAACGAUGGCUAAUACCGCAUGAUGCCUACGGGCCAAAGAGGGGGACCUUCGGGCCUCUCGCGUCAGGAUAUGCCUAGGUGGGAUUAGCUAGUUGGUGAGGUAAGGGCUCACCAAGGCGACGAUCCCUAGCUGGUCUGAGAGGAUGAUCAGCCACACUGGAACUGAGACACGGUCCAGACUCCUACGGGAGGCAGCAGUGGGGAAUAUUGCACAAUGGGCGCAAGCCUGAUGCAGCCAUGCCGCGUGUAUGAAGAAGGCCUUCGGGUUGUAAAGUACUUUCAGUAGGGAGGAAGGUUCAUACGUUAAUAGCGUAUGGAUUUGACGUUACCUACAGAAGAAGCACCGGCUAACUCCGUGCCAGCAGCCGCGGUAAUACGGAGGGUGCGAGCGUUAAUCGGAAUUACUGGGCGUAAAGCGCAUGCAGGUGGUUAGUUAAGUCAGAUGUGAAAGCCCGGGGCUCAACCUCGGAAUUGCAUUUGAAACUGGCUGACUAGAGUACUGUAGAGGGGGGUAGAAUUUCAGGUGUAGCGGUGAAAUGCGUAGAGAUCUGAAGGAAUACCGGUGGCGAAGGCGGCCCCCUGGACAGAUACUGACACUCAGAUGCGAAAGCGUGGGGAGCAAACAGGAUUAGAUACCCUGGUAGUCCACGCCGUAAACGAUGUCUACUUGGAGGUUGUGGCCUUGAGCCGUGGCUUUCGGAGCUAACGCGUUAAGUAGACCGCCUGGGGAGUACGGUCGCAAGAUUAAAACUCAAAUGAAUUGACGGGGGCCCGCACAAGCGGUGGAGCAUGUGGUUUAAUUCGAUGCAACGCGAAGAACUUACUACUCUUGACAUCCAUAGAAUUAGCAGAGAUGCUUUGGUGCCUUCGGGAAUAUGAGACAGGUGCUGCAUGGCGUCGUCAGCUCGUGUUGUGAAAUGUUGGGUUAAGUCCCGCAACGAGCGCAACCCUUAUCCUUGUUUGCCAGCGAGUAAUGUCGGGAACUCCAGGGAGACUGCCGGUGAUAAACCGGAGGAAGGUGGGGAGACGUCAAGUCAUCAUGGCCCUACGAGUAGGGUACACACGUGCUACAAUGGCGUAUACAGAGGGCUGCCAACCAGCGAUGGUGAGCGAAUCCCAAAAAAUACGUCGUAGUCCGGAUUGGAGUCUGCAACUCGACUCCAGAAGUCGGAAUCGCUAGUAAUCGUGGAUCAGAAUGCCACGGUGAAUACGUUCCCGGGCCUUGUACACACCGCCCGUCACACCAGGGAGUGGGCUGCAAAAGAAGUGGGUAGUUUAACC